This 561-nucleotide ribosomal RNA is filed under the name uncultured bacterium. RNAcentral's name for it is "bacterial SSU rRNA". It matches the Rfam family "Bacterial small subunit ribosomal RNA", at positions 777 to 1335 of the family's 1533-position model. The record is from RNAcentral.
AAUAGAUACCCCGGUAGUCCACGCCGUAAACGGUGGGCGCUAGGUGUGGGUUUCCUUCCACGGGAUCCGUGCCGUAGCUAACGCAUUAAGCGCCCCGCCUGGGGAGUACGGCCGCAAGGCUAAAACUCAAAGGAAUUGACGGGGGGCCCGCACAAGCGGCGGAGCAUAUGGAUUAAUUCGAUGCAACGCGAAGAACCUUACCUGGGUUUGACAUAUACCGGAAAGCCGUAGAGAUACGGCCCCCCUUGUGGUCGGUAUACAGGUGGUGCAUGGCUGUCGUCAGCUCGUGUCGUGAGAUGUUGGGUUAAGUCCCGCAACGAGCGCAACCCUUGUCUUAUGUUGCCAGCACGUAAUGGUGGGGACUCGUAAGAGACUGCCGGGGUCAACUCGGAGGAAGGUGGGGACGACGUCAAGUCAUCAUGCCCCCUUAUGUCCAGGGGCUUCACACAUGCUACAAUGGCCGGUACAGAGGGCUGCGAUACCGUGAGGUGAGCGAAUCCCUUAAAGCCGGUCUCAGUUCGGAUCGGGGUCUGCAACUCGACCCCGUGAAGUCGGAGUCGC